GGGGUCGCAAUGGUUUCGACGGGGGUUUUGAAGUCAGAGGAGCGAGCAGCGGCGGGCACCGCUUUAUCAAGCCUAACUUUAAAAUUAAACGCUAACGAUAAUUUAGCUUACGCUGCCUAAUUAAAGGCGGCCGUUCUUACCUGAAGGACCACGGUCGGGAUAAGAGCGUCAUCGAGUGGUGAACGUGAGUGUGCAAAGCUUUGAGCACACCAUGAACAAUGAAGCUACUGAGCAUUAAAGCUUGUUUGCGGGCUUUAAUGUAAGGGAAUGCAGACCACAAACUGCGCUCGGAGAGCCUCCGAUGGAUGAAUUUUCGGACAGGAGUUCGAUUCUCCUCGACUCCACCA
This 347-nucleotide transfer-messenger RNA is filed under the name Clostridia. Its description in RNAcentral is "RGIG8748 sp017621495 Standard tmRNA". It matches the Rfam family "transfer-messenger RNA". From Rfam's summary of the family: Bacterial tmRNA, also known as 10Sa RNA or SsrA, is named for its dual tRNA and mRNA-like properties. Its role is to liberate the mRNA from a stalled ribosome. Lineage: Bacteria; Bacillati; Bacillota. RNAcentral also lists the same sequence under 1 other name. The record is from RNAcentral.